Molecule: small nucleolar RNA, 89 nt
Organism: Cimex lectularius (bed bug)
Lineage: Eukaryota; Metazoa; Arthropoda; Insecta; Hemiptera; Cimicidae
Source: RefSeq, a predicted model, not a curated record
ACAAGGUGAUGAAUUGUCAUGCUAAUACCGAGAAUGCUUUAGGCAUUUGCUGAGUUAAACUAACUUCUCAUUGUUAACAUCUGAAUCUA